CUUAUUUUACUUUACCAUGAAAAUUCAUAUACUGUACGACAGGCAAUAAAAUUUGUUACAUGGCCUUUAUUGUAUUUAUCAAUCAAUAUUCAAAUCAACAUGGCUUUCUCGCCUGCAGUAGGGGGCUUAUGCAGUGACACUCGCCCCCUCUCAAUGACCUGCCUCGAGUGAGAACAGAGACUUCUGCUUGACCACAGUGGUUUAAACAGUCCAUGGUCUGGCCGUGCAACGUCCUUUAAAACAUUUUGGGCCCUUGUCCGUACUCUUCUGGUAUAGAUGGUAGGGAGAGGUGCUCUGAUGGUCCCUUUGGCAGUAAAAGUCAGGUGUCUAAUUGCAACACUGUCUGCAGAAGCUCUUUCCUUCUUGCUUAAACCACCUUUCUGAUGCCUAACAUAGAUCCUCCCCCAACGUGCAGUGCCAGCCUCUGGCUCCAGGCUGGGACUUGCUGGAUG
Long non-coding RNA from Alosa alosa (allis shad), 452 nucleotides. RefSeq lists it as uncharacterized. The transcript is spliced from 3 exons. NCBI's taxonomy places the organism in Eukaryota, Metazoa, Chordata, Actinopteri, Clupeiformes, Clupeidae. The record is from RefSeq and is a predicted model, not a curated record.